This 465-nucleotide ribosomal RNA is filed under the name uncultured bacterium. RNAcentral's name for it is "bacterial SSU rRNA". It matches the Rfam family "Bacterial small subunit ribosomal RNA", at positions 28 to 509 of the family's 1533-position model. The record is from RNAcentral.
GACGAACGCUGGCGGCGUGCUUAACACAUGCAAGUCGAGCGGUAAGGCCCUUUCGGGGGUACACGAGCGGCGAACGGGUGAGUAACACGUGGGUGACCUGCCCUCAGCUCUGGGAUAAGCCUGGGAAACCGGGUCUAAUGCUGGAUAUGACUCCAUGACGCAUGUUGUGGGGUGGAAAGCCUUGUGCGGCUGAGGAUGGGCCCGCGGCCUAUCAGCUUGUUGGUGGGGUGAUGGCCUACCAAGGCGACGACGGGUAGCCGGCCUGAGAGGGCGACCGGCCACACUGGGACUGAGACACGGCCCAGACUCCUACGGGAGGCAGCAGCUAAGAAUCUUGCGCAAUGAGCGAAAGCUUGACGCAGCAACGCCGCGUGGAGGACGAAAGGCCCUCGGGUCGUAAACUCCUUUUGCGAGGGAAGAAGAUCUGACGGUAUCUCGCGAAUAAGCCACGGCUAACUACGUGCC